This 449-nucleotide ribosomal RNA is filed under the name uncultured bacterium. Its description in RNAcentral is "partial 16S ribosomal RNA". It matches the Rfam family "Bacterial small subunit ribosomal RNA", at positions 28 to 523 of the family's 1533-position model. The record is from RNAcentral.
GACGAACGCUGGCGGCGUGCUUAACACAUGCAAGUCGAACGCAUCCUUCGGGGUGAGUGGCAGACGGGUGAGUAACGCGUGGGAACGUGCCCUCCAGUUCGGGAUAACCCAGGGAAACUUGGGCUAAUACCGGAUACGUGCGAGAGCAGAAAGAUUUAUCGCUGAAGGAUCGGCCCGCGUCUGAUUAGCUAGUUGGUGGGGUAAUGGCCCACCAAGGCGACGAUCAGUGGCUGGUCUGAGAGGAUGAUCAGCCACAUUGGGACUGAGACACGGCCCAAACUCCUACGGGAGGCAGCAGUGGGGAAUAUUGGACAAUGGGCGCAAGCCUGAUCCAGCCAUGCCGCGUGAGUGAUGAAGGCCUUAGGGUUGUAAAGCUCUUUCGUCCGGGACGAUAAUGACGGUACCGGAAGAAGAAGCCCCGGCUAACUUCGUGCCAGCAGCAGCCGCAG